RNAcentral lists this ribosomal RNA (253 nucleotides) under uncultured bacterium. Its description in RNAcentral is "partial 16S ribosomal RNA". It matches the Rfam family "Bacterial small subunit ribosomal RNA", at positions 524 to 776 of the family's 1533-position model. The record is from RNAcentral.
UACAGAGGGGGCAAGCGUUGGUCGGAAUUACUGGGCGUAAAGGGCGCGUAGGCGGCCUUCUAAGUCGCACGUGAAAUCCCCGGGCUCAACCCGGGAACUGCGUCCGAUACUGGAAGGCUUGAAUCCGGGAGAGGGAUGCGGAAUUCCAGGGGUAGCGGUGAAAUGCGUAGAUAUCUGGAGGAACACCGGUGGCGAAGGCGGCAUCCUGGACCGGUAUUGACGCUGAGGCGCGAAAGCCAGGGGAGCAAACGGG